GGUGCGUGCAGGUGACGCAGCUGGUGGAGUUCCUCAUUGACCACCACGAGGAACUCUUUGAGGAGGAGGAGGACGAUGGGCUUGCCGGAGCGUCCGCCGAGGAGUUGCCAGCACCGGAGCCAGAAGCUCAUCCCUCAGAGGUACGUCAGGGCCACAAAGAGGGUGGGACUGCUGCCACAGGAACAAGCAAGGUCCUCCACCCACCAGCCUGCAGCUCUGCAGAAGUUCAGAGCUGAGCUAGAUAUUGGGCAAGUAGGUCCCUGUGCCAUCCUCAUUUCUACAUUUCCCUCGCAGGUGCCUCCAGUCACUCUGGAAAGUGAACACCUGAACAGCGCCUCUGAGGAGAGAGGGUUGCCAGGCUCUUCACCAGUACGCAGGAAGAGAAAACCAUCCUGUGAAGAGCAGAGCGAUGGGCAACCCGAGAGCAAGCGCAGGAAGCUGGCAACAGACCUCUGAGCGACGGGCAACUCAGGAAAUCCAAGCAGGCGGAAAGAACGAGUUGCCCAGGUGGUGAUUUACUUUUGCUGCUUGGAUUUCCUGGAUGAGCUCUGACACCUGGGCUUCCAGGAGCACGAUGCAGCACCAGCACCACCUCGGCGCAGGCGAGGACAGAGACACCGUGCCCUCCUGCUCUGGCCGGCACAUUCCACCCGUGCAGCGCUAACCAGAGCAGCCCCGCAAGGCCCCCAGACCCAUCCCAGCCCUCGCAGAAGGCCCUGCUGGCUCAUCCAUCAGCUCCGUGAGCAGGUGCCCACCAGCUGGAACAUCUCUCUGAGCUGGGGAGCUGGCAUGUGAACUUAAGGGAAUGAGGAGCGAGUUACACAUGGUGGUGCAUAUCAUCUGGGAGGGACAUGAGGAUGCCCGUGCCAGCAUCUUCCAUUCUAUAAAACCCUCCAUCCAGCUUUUCAUUCCACCUACUCAAUCCUUGCAGACCGAUGCUGAACCAACUUGGUCAACACAAGAAGGGAGCACCCAUUGCUUCUCUCUGGUCAGGGCAAGUGCAUUUAUGCAGGAUGCCUGAACUCCUCAUUUGGGGAAAGAAGGUAACGUGUCAGCCAACUGCAGCUGCUUGAGUCCAAACCCAGCCGUGCUGUCCCUACCAAGAGCAGAAACUACAUUCAAAAGUCUUCUGUUAUGGCACAUUUACUAGUAUGCAGUUGCACAUGAUGCAAAAGGCACGUUCUGAGCUGCAAGAAUUUCCUUCAUAUAUGAGGGCAGUAAAACAGACCUUUGAUGUCAUUUUCUCCAGGUUGCAGAAAACUGGUAGCAAAGACUGAAAAGAUUUCCAUACUGCAUUAAUAUAGAAGCAUUUGGAUGGGCAUAUGUCACUAUGGGUCCUUUGCGCCCAUCUCACUGACUUAGAAAGAAUGUGUUAUGUGGAGCUACAUCACACAGGCAAGCUCAGAGCUUUUCCAGGGUUGCCUGGACAGGCAUUCUGGAAUGACGAUAGAUCCACGUGUGUUAACUCUAUUGCCACACCGCUACUUAGCCUGGCAAUUCUCAAGAGGAACUUGCUUUGAGCCCUAUAGAAGGCAAAACUACCAAACCAGUAAAACUCUUAAAAGGGGACGUCCUGAAGAGCCUCCAAGGUCAACUUGUACACGUUUUCCUGGAAGAACAAGCCAAAUGGAGGCAGCGAAUGGUCUGAAAUACAGUUCUCAUAAAUAUGACGGUUACUCAGUAAAGCCUUUUAUUACCAAUGGUCAUUUUGGUGUAUAAAUAAACAAUAUUGAGCGACAUGCUUUAUUAUAAAAUGAAAAUAUGCAAUAAAAAUAGUUGUUAUUCAUAUUAAGCUGUGUUGCUGCACCUGAGAGCACACAAAGACCUCUUAUUUGUUUGGUGUAUUUUGGUGCUUUUAAAAUUUGUCUACUGGCAACGUAGUUCUGCACAAUGAACUAGCUGCAGUCAGGCAUUUUACUGUGGGCGCAACCUGUUGCUUUCAGCAAAUUAAUAUACCAGACACUAUCACUCUCUUUACCGUUUGAUAACAAAUUUUAAAACGUCUCUUUAGCAGAUGCCAUGUAUUAUUUGGAAAUGUCCUACAUUAAUAUAAUGAUUUAAAUAAAAAGUGUUUACUUGCAAUUAACAAAUAUGAGACACAUCUUGUUUUUUAAAUGUCAAAACAUAUUUAACCAAGUACUUUGUACAUUGUAUGUCUUGAACCUUGCAAAUGGAGAUGGCUACAACAAGAAAUAGUAAAAAAAAGAAAACAAAACAAUCCCACGAAACACAAAAGGAAAAAUAUUAGUCCCCUAGCCCAAAUAUUUGCUCUUAACUGCACUAACUACAAAAAACUUGUAUAGAGAAUGAUCCCACUAUGUCUGGGCUCUGGGGAUUUAGGACACAAACCUCCUUGGCAGAAGAGGGUUGGAUUUGGCUCACUCUAACUUCAGUGUCCAUCUUUGGACCAAAGCUCAACUGGGCUUGAAACUUGGGCUUCCUGGUCCCGUGAGCUGGAAGACCAGGGCUGCAUCAGCAAUGACUUUCCAAUUGCGGACACCGAAACUGUAUGGAAGCACUUGUAUCAGCUGAAUGUUCUCCAUCCCAUGGGGCCUGAUGGGGUCCAUCCCAGAGUCCUGAAGGAAUUAGCAGGUGUCACGGCAGGAGUGCUUCCAUACAUCGACCAACAGCCUGGGAAUGCAGGUAGGUCCCUGCUGACUGGAAGCUCUCCAGUGUUCUUCCAGUUUAUCGGAAGGGUUGAGGGAAGACGCAGGGAAGAACAGAACUCAUAGUCAAUGCUCAUUCACUUCCCUGACAGUGAUGGAGAAAAUCAUCCUAUUGAAAGGCAUUUCAAGGACAAUGCAAUUGUCAGACAAAGUCAACAUGGGUUCAGGGAAGGCAAGUCCUGUCAAACUAUUUUGAUCUCCUUCUGUGAUAAGGUGUCAAGGAGGCACCCCAAAGUCAUUUUUAGGUGGACA
Long non-coding RNA from Columba livia (rock pigeon), 2918 nucleotides. RefSeq lists it as uncharacterized. The transcript has 3 exons. The record is from RefSeq and is a predicted model, not a curated record. Lineage: Eukaryota; Metazoa; Chordata; Aves; Columbiformes; Columbidae.